RNAcentral lists this ribosomal RNA (467 nucleotides) under uncultured bacterium. RNAcentral's name for it is "partial 16S ribosomal RNA". It matches the Rfam family "Bacterial small subunit ribosomal RNA", at positions 28 to 506 of the family's 1533-position model. The record is from RNAcentral.
GACGAACGCUGGCGGCGUGCUUAACACAUGCAAGUCGAACGGAAAGGCCCUGCUUUUGUGGGGUGCUCGAGUGGCGAACGGGUGAGUAACACGUGAGUAACCUGCCCUUGACUUUGGGAUAACUUCAGGAAACUGGGGCUAAUACCGGAUAGGAGCUCCUGCUGCAUGGUGGGGGUUGGAAAGUUUCGGCGGUUGGGGAUGGACUCGCGGCUUAUCAGCUUGUUGGUGGGGUAGUGGCUUACCAAGGCUUUGACGGGUAGCCGGCCUGAGAGGGUGACCGGCCACAUUGGGACUGGGAACCGGCCCGGACCCCUACGGGGGGAAGCAGGGGGGAAUAUUGCACAAGGGGGGGAAGCCGGAUGCAGCAACGCCGCGUGCGGGAUGAGGGCCUUCGGGUGGUAAACCGCUUUCGCCGGGGACGAAGCGGGAGUGACGGUAAUGGGUAAAGAAGCACCGGCUAACUACGU